This 378-nucleotide ribosomal RNA is filed under the name uncultured organism. RNAcentral describes it as "partial 16S ribosomal RNA". It matches the Rfam family "Bacterial small subunit ribosomal RNA", at positions 527 to 897 of the family's 1533-position model. The record is from RNAcentral.
GUAGGUGGCAAGCGUUGUCCGGGAAUUAUUGGGGCGUAAAGCGCGCGCAGGCGGGUUCUUUAAGUCUGAUGUGAAAGCCCACGGGCUCAACCGUGGGAGGGUCAUUGGAAACUGGAGAACUCGAGUACAGAAGAGGAAAGCGGAAUUCCACGUGUAGCAGUGAAAUGCGUAGAGAUGUGGAGGAACACCAGUGGCGAAGGCGGCUUUCUGGUCUGUAACUGACGCUGAGGCGCGAAAGCGUGGGGAGCAAACAGGAUUAGAUACCCUGGUAGUCCACGCCGUAAACGAUGAGUGCUAAGUGUUAGGGGGUUUCCGCCCCUUAGUGCUGCAGCUAACGCAUUAAGCACUCCGCCUGGGGAGUACGGCCGCAAAGGCUGA